Molecule: ribosomal RNA, 253 nt
Filed under: uncultured prokaryote
Description: partial 16S ribosomal RNA
Rfam family: Bacterial small subunit ribosomal RNA
Source: RNAcentral
UACGUAGGGGACAAGCGUUGUCCGGAAUCACUGGGCGUAAAGGGCGCGCAGGCGGUGAUUUAAGCAGGAUGUGAAAGGCUACGGCUCAACCGUAGACAUGCACCCUGAACUGGGUCACUUGAGUAUUGGAGAGGCAGGCAGAAUUCCUGGUGUAGCGGUGAAAUGCGUAGAUAUCAGGAGGAAUACCGGAGGCGAAGGCGGCCUGCUGGACAAAUACUGACGCUGAGACGCGAGAGCGUGGGGAGCAAACGAG